UCUCCGUAGGUGAACCUGCGGAAGGAUCAUUACUGAGUUUUGAACGAAGUUGUUCUGGUCUUUCGGGGCAAGUGAACGCUUCUCUCAAUCCAUCUUACGCCUGUGCACCUAUGGGGGAAGACAUGGAUCUACGUUGGGUCACGACGGCGAUCUACAGGCUCCUCUUAAUACCAAAUAACAGUUUUAGAAAGUCUUUUUUGCUUGAUGCAUACUUAAAUAAAUACAACUUUCAGCAACGGAUCUCUUGGCUCUC
RNAcentral lists this unclassified non-coding RNA (253 nucleotides) under plant metagenome. RNAcentral describes it as "partial contains small subunit ribosomal RNA, internal transcribed spacer 1, and 5.8S ribosomal RNA". The record is from RNAcentral.